Molecule: long non-coding RNA, 3862 nt
Filed under: Cucumis sativus (cucumber)
Lineage: Eukaryota; Viridiplantae; Streptophyta; Magnoliopsida; Cucurbitales; Cucurbitaceae
Description: long non-coding RNA (CSAT_LNC000032)
Source: RNAcentral
GGAAGAAAACUGUGGUAGUAUUAAUGGAAUAUAUAUUGAAAUUCAUCAUAUAUUUGGGUCAUAUUCAAUGUGAAAUUGGGAUAAACAUAUUGAAACAACCAUUAAAACAAUAAGUAAAAUCGAUGAGAUAGCAUCUAUGUCUAGGGUCUUUGACUUGAGAUCACCGGCUGCAAAAUGUUCAAAUACAUGAGUAAAGAUCCAACUACAAAUCUUCACUAAAAAGGCAAGAGAUUAGAGAUUUUGUUCAUAUAAAAUGCACCAAAAUGUCCAAAUACACGAGUAAAAAUCCGACUACAAAAUUCACUAAAAAGGAAAAAAUAUUUUUCAAAAGGAAACCAAAUAAAAUCUUUAUCCCAAUUGAUUAUUCUUCAAAAAAAUUCUUUUUGACUGUCAACCAAAAAAGUCAAAGCUGAACAAAACAAAAUUUCCGCAUCCAUGUGGCUUCUAACAAAGGGAAACAAAAGUGAUCUCAAGUUUCAAAAAAAAAAAUUCUUCUUUUUGUUAGUGUUGUACUAUAACAACAUUGUAAUGUAUAAAAGUCAAAUAAUAUCUAAGCUAGCGAUAUACUUUUCGAAAUCAUAUUAGGUACUCCCUGUUUGAUUGUAUGUUAAAUGCUUUCAACUAGCCCAAGCAAACAAGUUGAUGCAGCAAGUGAAGUUCGCCUUUCUUUUUUAGAUGCCCUCUUUAUGAUAUUUUGCAUUAGAACAUGUUGUCAACUCAAAUGGAUUGCAAAUGCACUAACUAAACACUUUAACCAAAUCUUUACUUGACUAAUACAUACAUUCUUCAUGGAUCCCCCACUUCUCAACCAACUGUCAUCCUAAAAUCUACAUGAAUGUGGAGAGUUUGAACAUUUAAACUGCAAUUCUAGUUGGAUGAACAUGUAGUCCAACUUUAUAAAUAGCAAUGUUAUCCUGGCAAAUUGCAAAGAAUCAAUUGAUUCCUAGGUUUCUUUGGAAAAGUAAUGAAAGAGAUGGAAAACAGAAAUGGUGCACAAGAAGCUUCCAAGGGAAAGGCCAACCCUGGAAAAGCUACGAUUUUGGCUCUUGGGAAAGCAUUCCCUCCUCAACUUGUCCUUCAAGACUACCUAGUCGACGGCUAUUUCAAGGACACAAGCUGCGAUGAUAUUGAUCUCAAGCAGAAACUCACUCGACUAUGUAAUUUUAAUCUUUCACUCUUUCUUCUUUUUUUUGGAAAUAUCUCAUACUUCAUUGAUCUGAAAGAACUGAAUGGAACUUCUAAGAUGGUUUUAAAAAAAAUUUACAAGUGCAUUAGAGUACUACUUCUCCUUUUUAACUGAAUUAAUCGUCAUCCUCUAAUAGUGUAAAUCCUUUAACAGGCAAGACAACAACAGUAAAAACUAGAUACGUGGUGAUGUCAGAAGAGAUCUUGAAGAAGUACCCAGAGCUAGCAAAGGAAGGUCAACCGACCAUAAAGCAGAGACUGGAGAUUUGCAACAAAGCUGUGACAGAAAUGGCCAUUGAAGCUUCACAAGCUGCCAUUAACAACUGGGGAAGGCCAGCUUCAGACAUUACCCACUUAGUCUAUGUUUCUUCAAGUGAAGCUCGCUUGCCUGGUGGUGAUCUCUUCCUAGCAAGGGGCCUUGGACUCAGCCCUCAAACCCAACGAGUCAUGCUUUACUUCACGGGUUGCUCGGGAGGCGUGGCAGGCCUUAGAGUCGCAAAAGACUUAGCUGAAAACAACCCAGGAAGCCGAGUCCUGCUUGUCACCUCUGAAACCACCAUUAUCGGGUAACUCUUUUAAUCACCUCCUAAAGCUCAUACAUGCUGUUCUCAGAAUUUUAAACAUAAACACCAAUUUCUUUACAGCUUCAAGCCACCGAGUGUAAAUCGUCCAUACGAUCUCGUAGGCGUGGCACUAUUUGGGGAUGGUGCAGGGGCGAUGGUAAUUGGGAGAGACCCUUUUUUGGGCAUUGAACGACCACUCUUUGAACUCCACACAACAACCCAGAAAUUCAUUCCAGAUACUCAGAACAUAAUCGAUGGGAAACUGUCGGAGGAAGGUAUUAGUUUCACAAUAACAAGAGAACUUCCUCAGAUAAUUGAAGACAACAUCGAAAGUUUCUGUGAGACAUUUCUUCAAACACUUGGGUUACAUGAGAAAGAAUACAACAAAAUAUUCUGGGCAGUACAUCCAGGUGGGCCAGCGAUAUUGAACAGGUUGGAGAAGAGGCUAGAACUGUUACCUGAGAAGCUGACAGCGAGCCGACGAGCUCUGAUGGACUAUGGAAAUGCGAGUAGUAACACGAUCGUGUACGUAUUGGAAUACAUGAUGGAAGAAAGCUUGAAAAUGAAGAUGGAAGGUAGGAAAAUUGAGGAAUGGGGAUUGAUUCUGGCGUUUGGACCUGGGAUUUCAUUUGAAGGGAUUCUGGCGAGGAAUCUUGCCGUAUGAGAAAAAUGAUAGAGUUGAUGCUUACUAUGAAUAUGAAAUUUUCAAUUUCUAUUGUGUGUUAGUUUUUAGAAAUGUUGAAUGGAAUGAUUUGUUUUGGUCUCUACGUUGUUAUCAUCCACCAAGCUUUUUGUAUAUUAUAAUUAGGAUAAUUAUAAAUAACAAUUUUAAGAAUAAUGAUAACAAAAUCUAUUGGUAAUAACUUCCCACAAUUUUUUUUAAAUAUAACAAUCUUAAUUAUUCCUUUAAUUUUAAAAUAUUAAGUCUAUAGAAUAAAACUAAACAACUCAUUUUAGCACUAUACAUCAAUUUUCAAAAAGUUAUAUAGUUAGUCACUAAUGUUGUAAUUUUAUCUUUGUUUCAAUUUAAUUCUUAGUUUCGAUUUUCAUUAAAUACCAAUUAAUAGACAUUAAUGUCUAUUAAUUGAUUUAAAAUAGUUGUGAAGUGAUGAUUGAAAUUUAGUUUUAAUAGUGAUACAUAAAUAAUCAAACUUAAUUAAUCAUACUCUUUUAGGAUGGAAGGUGAGUAUUUAGCUGAUGUUAAACCUUAAAAUGUAAAUCUUGAAAAAUCAAAACAAAAACAAAAAAAUGACUAAAUUUAAACCAAACUUAGAAACUAAAUAAAAAUUAGAUUUAAAGCUUAAAGACCAUAAUAAAACAAAAGUCAAUAAAAUUGUAACGGAUUAAAUUAAAAACAAACUCAAAAUAAAAGUCUUGAAUAUUUAAUAUUUUGAAAAAUGUGGACCAAAUAAAAAGUUAACAGAGGUGUAAAAAAGGAAAAAAAAUAUUUAUUCAACUCCGAACCAUUAAUUUUAUCAAUUUAGACCUUGUAUUUUUACAAAAACAUAAAUAUAAACUUCAAAUUUUAAUUUAAGUUUUAAAUUGAUACAUUGAAGCAAUAAUUAAUUUAAGAUUUAAAUUUAUACAACAUACAAAGUUUUAUAAUAUAAAUAUUUGUAUAUGGAAAAAAAAAACCAAAAACUUAUUGGUGGAAAAGGAAUUAUAAUUUUAGGAAAAGCAAUUCCCGAAGACGCAAACUCUCACAUGUGAAAGUGAAACAAACAAACAAAGUUGGAAAGUUCGUAGAUAUUGAAACUUUGAUUCCUUGACAAACCACUUAUAUUAAAUUUCUUGGAAAAGCACUGCCCAAUCCAAAACUACUUUUCCAAACGGAAAGACGACAACCAAUGAUUAACAAUUCCAUAAUAUACAAUCUUUUGUAUCAUAAAUUAUGAAGACCAAGACGUAGACUCAGAGCCAAAAGAGCAGAGAACCAUAAUCGGAGCUAAGGGAAAAAGAUGGCUCACCUGAAGCUUGAAGGCGCCAUUAAUUUGAAGGAAGAUCUCAUCGCAACCGCUUGCUCUGCCGCCAUUAAAGCUCACAAGCAUCCUGAGAAGCCAUUUCUUCUUGAUAAAACUAGAGAUUCCUCCAUCAUUAGCUUCGCCGGAUCUUCG